CUGUGUUUGGAGAUAGCAUGCUGCAUUGGCUAUGGAGCACAACAAAUCUCUGUUCAUAUUUGACCCUGUUGCUAACUGGCUGUGUGACCUUGAACCAAGUGGUGUGCAUCCCCCUCCCUCUUGCCACGGAAACCCAUCUACUGCAUCCCGACCUCAGCAGUUUUGAACUACAACUCUGGAAUUGUUAGCUCACAACGCAGAGCUGGAAAAGGCCUCAGAAGUCAUCUACCCAACUGUGCCAUUUCACAGAUGGGAAAACUGCGGUCUAGAGGGGUGGCGGCUCGCCCAGGUGCCUGUCUGCUGCUCUUCCCCCAGAUAUCUCAAACAGUCCAGCAGGACUUUAUGCUGGACGCUGGUCUGAAAACAGUUUCCUCUUGCUCUAAGCCCAGAGGAGAGGGCCUAGUGGGAAGGGGGCAAAGGGAAGGGACAGGAACUGUUUUCCACCCUUCCUUCUCAACUUCACCUUCUUGGACCAUCCAGAACUGUCUCCAACUGGAAGGAAGGAAAUCUAGUCCAAUCCUCUCAUCCUACAGAAUUCACAGAGUGCCAGAACUGGAAGGGACCUCAGAGAACAGAAGUUCAAGUCCUGUUUCCCAGAUAAGGACACCAAGACCCAGAGGGGAAAUGACUCAGCCAACAACACGCACCCUUUGGAGGCCAGCAGGGCCACUUAAGUAUUGCUCCACCAGAGACCAGAACUGUGGGCCAGACCACUCUGGCCAGAGCCUCCCAGAGCCUCUGGGAUCCUGCCCAUGGAUCUGAGGAUUUCCACCCCAGGAGAAAUUCUGGGUGAGAGUUUGGAGGCACUGUGCUGGGAGGAGACAUGUGGUUUCUGAGCUCAAGAAGGUUACAGUUUACAGGAAGAGAUGGACACUGAACCAAUAAUACCACAAAUAGAUGGAUAUUUACAAAUUUUUUAAAGAUUUUAUUUUUUUUCCUUUUUCUCCCCAAAGCCCCC
Molecule: long non-coding RNA, 958 nt
Filed under: Equus caballus (horse)
Lineage: Eukaryota; Metazoa; Chordata; Mammalia; Perissodactyla; Equidae
Description: lncRNA (ENSECAG00000030996.3)
Source: RNAcentral